This 448-nucleotide ribosomal RNA is filed under the name uncultured bacterium. RNAcentral's name for it is "bacterial SSU rRNA". It matches the Rfam family "Bacterial small subunit ribosomal RNA", at positions 329 to 794 of the family's 1533-position model. The record is from RNAcentral.
UGCCAGACUCCUACGGGAGGCAGCAGUGGGGAAUAUUGCACAAUGGGGGGAACCCUGAUGCAGCGACGCCGCGUGGGUGAGGAAGUACUUCGGUAUGUAAAGCUCUAUCAGCAGGGAAGAAGAUGACGGUACCUGACCAAGAAGCCCCGGCUAACUACGUGCCAGCAGCCGCGGUAAUACGUAGGGGGCAAGCGUUAUCCGGAUUUACUGGGUGUAAAGGGAGCGCAGACGGCAGCGCAAGUCUGGAGUGAAAGCCCGGGGCCCAACCCCGGAACUGCUCUGGAAACUGUGCGGCUAGAGUACUGGAGGGGCAGGCGGAAUUCCUAGUGUAGCGGUGAAAUGCGUAGAUAUUAGGAGGAACACCAGUGGCGAAGGCGGCCUGCUGGACAGUAACUGACGUUGAGGCUCGAAAGCGUGGGGAGCAAACAGGAUUAGAUACCCUGGUAUC